AAACGUAGGGUUCGAGCGUUAUCCGGAAUUACUGGGCGUAAAGGGCGUGUAGGCGGACAAGGAAGUCGGACGUAAAAGCUCCCGGCCCAACUGGGAGAGGCCGUUCGAAACUCCUUGACUCGAGGCUAGUAGAGGCAAGUGGAAUUCCCGGUGUAGUGGUGAAAUGCGUAGAUAUCGGGAGGAAGACCAGAGGCGAAGGCGGCUUGCUGGGCUAGACCUGACGCUGAGACGCGAAAGCCAGGGGAGAGAACGGGAUUAGAAACCCCGGUAUUCCUGGCAGUAAACGAUGUCAACUAGGUGCGUGGGGUACCCAAUCCCUGCGUGCUGCCGCCAACGCAGUAAGUUGACCGCCUGGGGAGUACGGCCGCAAGGCUAAA
This 377-nucleotide ribosomal RNA is filed under the name uncultured bacterium. RNAcentral's name for it is "bacterial SSU rRNA". It matches the Rfam family "Bacterial small subunit ribosomal RNA", at positions 523 to 898 of the family's 1533-position model. The record is from RNAcentral.